RNAcentral lists this long non-coding RNA (316 nucleotides) under Lathyrus oleraceus (garden pea). RNAcentral's name for it is "Pisum sativum (pea) long non-coding RNA (PSAT_LNC013890)". The record is from RNAcentral. Lineage: Eukaryota; Viridiplantae; Streptophyta; Magnoliopsida; Fabales; Fabaceae.
AAAGUCAACCAACAAGACAAGAUUAAAGAUAAAUCAAGAAUAAAUUGAAAAUGGGAAAUAAAAAUCCAAGAAAAGGUCAGGUUGACCAUGGGGCGGUGGUUAACCUUCAUCCCAAAAAUCAAGAACUAAAAAUAAUUCUAAGUCAUGAAAAUAAAAUCAAGAAAUAAAUGUGUGUUAAAAUGAACCAUUUGGAAAGAAUAAUUAAAAUAAAAUAUUAACAUUAAAUAAAUACGAAAAAUAAAUAAAUUAAAUAAUGCAUCAAGAAAUGUGGAAAAUAUUUUUGGGAAUUUUUAUGAACAAAGCAAAUAUUUUAAAU